Molecule: long non-coding RNA, 470 nt
Filed under: Pan troglodytes (chimpanzee)
Lineage: Eukaryota; Metazoa; Chordata; Mammalia; Primates; Hominidae
Description: long non-coding RNA NONPTRT012354
Source: RNAcentral
AUAAAUAUGACAGAAUAUUAGGUCGUGAUGAUGAAGCAAGGUGAAGGAUGAAUGGGUACUCUUUGUGUGUUCUUUCAGAUUUUCUACAGGUUUGAACAUUUUUGAAACAAACUUGGCAGUGACUCUCGCCUCUCUAAAUGCAGGUGACGUGUUUCAUGGCAUCAGCAAGGAGGACCACAGACACUCGGCCCCAGCCGCCCCGAGGAACAGCCCCACGGGCUUGGCCCCACUCCCAGCGCUCUCGCCUGCUGCGCUGUCACCUGCUGCGCUCUCACCUGCCUCCACACCUCACCUUGCAAAUCUUGCAGCCCCAUCAUUCCCCAAAACAGCAACCACAACUCCUGGGUUUGUGGACACACGCAAGAGUUUCUGUCCUGCACCCCUGCCCCCGGCCACAGAUGGCUCCAUUAGCGCCCCUCCAAGUGUCUGCAGUGACCCUGACUGCGAAGGGCACCGCUGCGAGAAUGGUG